ACGCUCGACACCUACGGGAGACAGCAGUGGGGAAUAUUGCACAAUGGAGGAAACUCUGAUGCAGCGAUGCCGCGUGAGGGAAGAAGGUUUUCGGAUUGUAAACCUCUGUCUUUGGGGACGAUAAUGACGGUACCCAAGGAGGAAGCUCCGGCUAACUACGUGCCAACAGCCGAGGUAAUCUGAGGCGGGCUGGCGAAGGC
Molecule: ribosomal RNA, 200 nt
Filed under: uncultured bacterium
Lineage: Bacteria
Description: partial 16S ribosomal RNA
Rfam family: Bacterial small subunit ribosomal RNA
Source: RNAcentral